GGUUAAAAAGCUCGUAGUUGGAUUUCUGUCGAAGACGGUCGGUCCGCUCUAUGAGCGUGCAUCUGAUUCGGCUUUGGCAUCCUCGUGGGGAACGUAACUGUGCUUGAUUGCAUGGUGCGGAAUUCACGACUUUUACUUUGAGGAAAUUAGAGUGUUCACGGCAGGCAAGCGCCUUGAAUACAUUAGCAUGGAAUAAUAAUAUAGGACUUUGGUUCUAUUUUGUUGGUUUCUAGGACUAAAGUAAUGAUUAAUAGGGAUAAUUGGGGGCAUUUGUAUUAACGCGUCAGAGGUGGAAUUCUUGGAUUGCGUUACGACAAACUACUGCGAAAGCAUUUGCCAAGGAUGUUUUCAUUGAUCAAGAACGAAAGUAUGGGGAUCGAAGAUGAUUAGAUACCGUCGUAGUCUAUACCAUAAACUAUGCCGACUAGAGAUUGGAGGUCGUUCUUUUUAUGACUCC
RNAcentral lists this ribosomal RNA (457 nucleotides) under uncultured marine eukaryote. RNAcentral's name for it is "SSU rRNA". It matches the Rfam family "Eukaryotic small subunit ribosomal RNA", at positions 617 to 1078 of the family's 1831-position model. The record is from RNAcentral.